Long non-coding RNA from Perca fluviatilis (European perch), 738 nucleotides. RefSeq lists it as uncharacterized. The record is from RefSeq and is a predicted model, not a curated record. NCBI's taxonomy places the organism in Eukaryota, Metazoa, Chordata, Actinopteri, Perciformes, Percidae. The transcript is spliced from 5 exons.
ACCUGUUUCACCAUCGCCAUGACGCAGGUGUACACCUGAUCACCUGAUCGGUCCAUCUCAGCUGUGGGCCGAGGCUACAACAACACAAUACUUACUUUUUAAUGACAAAAUUUAACAUAUAGCUCCAUUUCAGUACUACAAAUGUCAGCUGUGCAAACGGAAAGGAAAGUAUAUCUCAACCAAAUUAAUAAUAGAGGCGUGUUUUAUUUUUUUUACCUGUGAGAGUGUGGAAGGCAUUGGUGGCUUGUCUGGAGGACCUGACGGAGAAAGAAAAAGCUGCUUAUCGGCACAUUUUCUUGACCCGCACAUUUCCUGCACAUACGUUUGAUUGCAUGCAACCUACGGAGGCUGCAAGAAAAGAGGACGUGAAGUUAACAUUUUAAAGGAUUGGAGAUUCAAACUUCAAGUCAGAUCAGAGGUCAACUUAUUACGACAGGAGAGAGGAUCUGUUGGAGGAUCGUUGAGCUGAAGUAAAGGAAACGUUUCUCAGCGAAGCUGACAUCACUGGCUGUGGUGAAGCGUCUGAAGUUGAUGGACUCGGGCGCCAUCCAUUUGAUCGGUAAUCGACUAACUGAGGCUGCGCACAGAAGAGAAAUGGACAAAAAUAUAGGAUUGUAAUGGUGUGAAUGCAUGCUGGAGGUAAAUAAUACGCCACAUUAACAUUAAAAAAAGAGAUGAGUUUUAACACACUUGAAUGAGUUUCCCCUUUACUGCAAUUCUCUGAAAUUUUGACCACAG